Molecule: ribosomal RNA, 450 nt
Filed under: uncultured bacterium
Lineage: Bacteria
Description: partial 16S ribosomal RNA
Rfam family: Bacterial small subunit ribosomal RNA
Source: RNAcentral
GUGGGGAAUCUUCCGCAAUGGACGAAAGUCUGACGGAGCAACGCCGCGUGAGUGAUGAAGGUCUUCGGAUUGUAAAGCUCUGUUAAUCGGGACGAAAGAGCCUAGUGUGAAUAAUGCUAGGAAGUGACGGUACCGGAAUAGAAAGCCACGGCUAACUACGUGCCAGCAGCCGCGGUAAUACGUAGGUGGCAAGCGUUGUCCGGAAUUAUUGGGCGUAAAGCGCGCGCAGGCGGAUCUGCCAGUCUGUCUUAAAAGUUCGGGGCUUAACCCCGUGAUGGGAUGGGAACUACAGAUCUAGAGUAUCGGAGAGGAAAGUGGAAUUCCUAGUGUAGCGGUGAAAUGCGUAGAUAUUAGGAAGAACACCAGUGGCGAAGGCGACUUUCUGGACGAAAACUGACGCUGAGGCGCGAAAGCCAGGGGAGCGAACGGGAUUAGAUACCCGGGUAGUCC